RNA transcript from Solanum tuberosum (potato), 2696 nucleotides. It is a transcript of the gene named pentatricopeptide repeat-containing protein At3g48250, chloroplastic, with no coding region annotated. The transcript is spliced from 2 exons. The record is from RefSeq and is a predicted model, not a curated record. NCBI's taxonomy places the organism in Eukaryota, Viridiplantae, Streptophyta, Magnoliopsida, Solanales, Solanaceae.
UGGAAAGAAUUUUAAUUUAAAUGAAAAAUAUUUGAUUUUCUUUUGCAAAUACCACUUCCACCCCUUUCAAGGGUUUCUCAAGGGUUUUGCAUCCCGGCAGCCAUGAAUCACGGCAAGAGAAUCCUGAGUUCGCUUCGAUUGAGGAAUUCUCUGUUUUUCACUCAGCUUUCACGAGCUCCUUCUUCCAAUCAUCAGGUGACUCAACACUUAAAUCUUUCUCCUUCACUUCUCACGCAAAUUUACACUUCCACUAGUAUUCUCGGUGCAAGUCAAAAUGUCUUCUUUUCAUCAAAAACUGAAUCUUUUGUUGACAUUAUACUAUCCAAUGACUGGUCGAAACAAUUAGAAAAGGAUUUAGGAAAAAAUGAUCUUCCGGUGACCCAUGAAGCUGUUAUGUAUUUGUUGAAGAAACUCGAUAAAGAACCGCAAAAGGCUGGGGAUUUCUUGAAAUGGGUUGUUAAGCAAAAUGGGUUUAAACCUAGUUCUUCUAUGUACAGUCUGAUGCUUAGAAUUUAUGCUAACAGGGAUUCAAUGAAGGACUUUUGGACUACUAUUAAGGAAAUGAAAGAGAACGGGUUUUAUAUUGAUGAGGAAACGUAUAAAUCAAUUCAUUCUAUUUUUCGGAAUUUGAAAAUGGAAACUGAUGCCACUGCUUUAAAGCAUUUCUAUGGGAGGAUGAUUAAAGAUAAUGCUAUGGGUGAUGUGGCAAAAGAUGUGUCUGAAUUGAUUACAAAACAUGAAUGGGGAGUUGAGGUGGAGAGACAAUUAGGGGAGAUGAAACUCCCGGUGUCGGAUAAUUUUGUGCUUAGGGUGUUGAAGGAACUUAGAGAAAUAGGAUAUCCACUGAAAGCUUUCAGCUUUUUCAAAUGGGUUGCGAGGAAUUUAGAUUUUCAGCACACCACCAUUACUUAUAAUGGGAUUCUUAGGGUUCUUUGCCGAGAAGAGUCGAUUGAGGAGUUCUGGGGUGUGGUAAAAGAGAUGAUGAGCCUGGGGUUUGAAAUAGAUCUUGAUACAUAUAUAAAAAUCUCAAGGCAUUUUCAGAAGAUUAAGAUGUUGAAAGAUGCAGUAGAACUAUAUGAACUGAUGAUGGAUGGUCAGUUUAAACCAUCACUUGGUGAGUGCAAUAUUCUUUUAAGAUCCAUUGCACAGUCACAUCCCUCAGAUCUUGAUUUGCUAUUUAGAGUUGUGGAAAAAUUUGAGGCCGCAGGGCAUUCACGCUCAAAGAUUAUUUAUGAUGUCAUUCAUAGGUGUUUGACUAACUUGGGGCGAUUUGAGGAAGCAGAGAAGAUAACAGAAGCUAUGAGAGAUGCAGGAUUUGAACCUGACAAUAUUACCUACAGCCAAUUAAUAUAUGGACUUUGCAAAGUGAGGAGGCUGGAGGAGGCAUCAAAGGUGAUAGAUGUGAUGGAAGAAUGUGGAUGCAUUCCGGAUAUCAAGACUUGGACUGUUCUGAUACAAGGGCAUUGUUUUGCUGGUGAAGUUGAUAAGGCGCUGUUUUGUUUUGCUAAGAUGAUGGAGAGAAAUGUUGAUACAGAUGCUGAUUUGUUGGAUGUACUACUUAAUGGUUUUCUGAGUCAAAGAAGAGUUUUUGGUGCAUAUCAGUUAUUGACCGAGUUGGUGAAUAAGUUUCAAAUGCGCCCAUGGCAAGCAACAUACAAACUUGUCAUUCAAAAGCUCUUAGGGGAAAGGAAAUUCGAAGAAGCGCUUGAUCUACUCCGUCGGAUGAAGAAACACAAUUAUCCACCUUUUCCAGAACCCUUUCUUCAAUAUAUUUCAAAGUCAGGAACAGUGGAAGAUGCAGUGGAGUUUUUGAAGGCGUUGAGUGUCAAGGACUAUCCAUCUGUUUCAGCCUACCAACAUGUUUUCCAGUCCUUCUUUGCAGAAGGUAGACAUUCUGAGGCAAAAGAUCUGCUCUACAAGUGCCCACAUCAUAUUCGCCAACACCCAGCAAUUUGUGGCCUCUUUGGUUCGUCAAAUUCUAACAGUGGAAAAGUGAAAAGGUUCCCCCGGCAGAGUUCGACUUCUGUGUAGGCACAAGGUGCAAUUAGUGAAAUCUGGGAGGAGGAUUAAGCCUUAAGGUUAGUAUCUGAUAAGACCUCCCGAUGCUAACCUCGCCAGGAUCUUCAACUUUAAAAGACAAUUACACAAGUUAAUCAGAUAGCUCCAGAUAUCACUCUAUUAGCUGGUUCAGCCAAUGCAUGCAAAAAUCUUGCCAGGUUCAUGUCUUCAAGAUCUUUCACUUGGAACCUGAAUAAGAAGUGCCUGGGUUUCUUUCUGCUUCUGCUUCUGCUGCCAGCCUGAUAAUUGAACUGAUGGUGUUUGUGAAACUAGCAGUAAUAAACAUUCUGUUGGUUCAAGGGAAAUUACGAACCGCCUGGCUACAAAUCGUUGUUUUCUGCAUUCACUCUGAACUGUCGAAUUUGGAGAGUAAUCUAAGAAGCUACUUCAGUUUGGGAGGUCAAUGCCACCGUGCAGCUGAGAAAUGCAGUUUUGGCCAUCAUGUCAUUUUCAUUUGUGUUAUGUACACUCAAAUGUGCAAUAUUUAUGUUAUCAGGUUGAAAAUUUUGUUGUCAUUACUUUUUCACUUUGUUUACCAUUUGUCACUUGACAAUUUUAAAUUUUACACAAAGAACAGUCCAUUUAUUGUAUUGGAUUUUUCGGAGUUUCUUGUUAUUGAUUAAUAGGUUUGAAGUUCU